CACAGAUAUCUAUACAGAACUAAUGUAGAUCGAAGUAUCUGAAAUCAUCGAGGUGCUAGCUCUCUUGCAGAUCUCGCUACUUCUGAUCUAGAUCUGAUCUCUUUCUUCGACUGUCGUAGAAGUAGAUCUGAAGAUGGAUCUUCAUGCAAAUACCUUUCGCACAGGAUCGAAAGAUGCGAGCAAUGAUAGGAGAACUCCUUCUCCUUUCCUUCUCUUUCUCUCUCAUUGAUCUCUCUU
This 237-nucleotide long non-coding RNA is filed under the name Elaeis guineensis (African oil palm). Its description in RNAcentral is "long non-coding RNA (EGUI_LNC039640)". Lineage: Eukaryota; Viridiplantae; Streptophyta; Magnoliopsida; Arecales; Arecaceae. The record is from RNAcentral.